CAGCAUUGCGUGGAGAGCAUCAGUAAGCACAGGGAUGCGCACUGCGAUGGGCACAGGACUGCCCCUCCAGGCCAUUGAUGCACCGUGGGGAAGCGAGAGGAGAAUCAGGAAGCGGAGACAUAAGCAAGUCUUCCAGGUGCUCGCAGCCUCUCAAUACCUGGGAUGUCGCAUCCUGCAGAGCCAUGCCUUGGCACAGUGUGGGUGCGAGGGACCCCCCGCAGCCCCUUACCCCUGGGACUGGCCUGGUGCUCCCCUCAUCCACGGGUGAACCA
Molecule: long non-coding RNA, 272 nt
Organism: Gallus gallus (chicken)
Lineage: Eukaryota; Metazoa; Chordata; Aves; Galliformes; Phasianidae
Source: Ensembl